This 506-nucleotide ribosomal RNA is filed under the name uncultured bacterium. Its description in RNAcentral is "partial 16S ribosomal RNA". It matches the Rfam family "Bacterial small subunit ribosomal RNA", at positions 28 to 507 of the family's 1533-position model. The record is from RNAcentral.
GACGAACGCUGGCGGCGUGCUUAACACAUGCAAGUCGAACGGGCCUUGUCCCCUUUUUUUUGGGGGUGGGGUUAGUGGCGAACGGGUGAGUAACACGUGAGUAACCUGCCCCUCACUUCUGGAUAACCGCUUGAAGGGUGGCUAAUACGGGGUGUUCUGGCCUGCUCGCAUGGGUGGGUUUGGAAAGAUUCGACCGGUUUUGGUUGUUUUGGUGGGGGAUGGGCUCGCGGCCUAUCAGCUUGUUGGUGGGGUGAUGGCCUGCCAAGGCUUUGACGGGUAGCCGGCCUGAGAGGGUGGGCGGUCACACUGGGACUGAGACACGGCCCAGACUCCUACGGGAGGCAGCAGUGGGGAAUAUUGCACAAUGGGCGCAAGCCUGAUGCAGCGACGCCGCGUGAGGGAUGGAGGCCUUCGGGUUGUGAACCUCUUUCGCCAGUGAAGAAGGUCCUGCUCUUUGUGGUGGGGUUGACGGUAGCUGGGUUAAUGAAGCGCCGGCUAACUACGUG